CGCGUAGGCGGCCGGAAAAGUCGGAUGUGAAAGCCCGGGGCUCAACCUCGGAACGGCAUUCGAAACUCUUCGGCUGGAGAACGGAAGAGGAGAGUGGAAUACCCAGUGUAGAGGUGAAAUUCGUAGAUAUUGGGUGGAACACCGGUGGCGAAAGCGGCUCUCUGGUCCGGAUCUGACGCUGAGGCGCGAAAGCGUGGGGAGCAAACA
RNAcentral lists this ribosomal RNA (207 nucleotides) under uncultured bacterium. Its description in RNAcentral is "partial 16S ribosomal RNA". It matches the Rfam family "Bacterial small subunit ribosomal RNA", at positions 568 to 774 of the family's 1533-position model. The record is from RNAcentral.